GAUGAAGAACGUAGCGAAAUGCGAUAAGUAAUGUGAAUUGCAGAAUUCAGUGAAUCAUCGAAUCUUUGAACGCACAUUGCGCCCUCUGGUAUUCCGGGGGGCAUGCCUGUCCGAGCGUCAUUGCUGCCCUCAAGCACGGCUUGUGUGUUGGGCCUCCGUCCUCCUCCCGGGGGACGGGCCCGAAAGGCAGCGGCGGCACCGCGUCCGGUCCUCGAGCGUAUGGGGCUUCGUCACCCGCUCUUGUAGGCCCGGCCGGCGCUUGCCGACACAUCAAUCUUUUUUCCAGGUUGACCUCGGAUCAGGUAGGGAUACCCGCUGAACUUAAGCAUAUCAAUAAGCGGAGGA
Molecule: unclassified non-coding RNA, 345 nt
Filed under: soil metagenome
Description: partial contains 5.8S ribosomal RNA, internal transcribed spacer 2, and large subunit ribosomal RNA
Rfam family: 5.8S ribosomal RNA (bases 1-120)
Source: RNAcentral